GAUGAACGCUGGCGGCGUGCCUAAUACAUGCAAGUCGAGCGAACAGACGAGGCGCUUGCUCCUCUGACGUUAGCGGCGGACGGGUGAGUAACACGUGGCUAACCUACCUAUAAGACUGGGAUAACUUCGGGACACCGGCGCUAAUACCGGAUAAUAUAUUGAACCGCGUGGUUCAAUAGUGAACGACGGUUUUGCUGUCACUUAUAGAUGGAUCCGCGCCGCAUUAGCUAGUUGGUAAGGUAACGGCUUACCAAGGCAACGAUGCGUAGCCGACCUGAGAGGGUGAUCGGCCACACUGGAACUGAGACACGGUCCAGACUCCUACGGGAGGCAGCAGUAGGGAAUCGUACGCAAUGGGCGAAAGCCUGACGGAGCAACGCCGCGUGAGUGAUGAAGGUCUUCGGAUCGUAAAACGCUGUUAUUAGUGAAGAACAAAUGUGUAAGUAACUAUGCGCGUCUUGACGGUACCUAAUCAGAAAGCCACGGCUAACUACGUG
Molecule: ribosomal RNA, 497 nt
Filed under: uncultured bacterium
Lineage: Bacteria
Description: partial 16S ribosomal RNA
Rfam family: Bacterial small subunit ribosomal RNA
Source: RNAcentral